UAUCUUCUUGUCAGCAAUAAGUUGGUCACAUGCAUAUGCAAUCGCAAAUGAUCCGACUACAGCAGAAAUAAUAUACUUGGCUGCCAUGCUCAAACGAGAGUGAUGUGAGUUUUGGAUCUACAGAGGCGAUUGUCUAUUGAAAAUUCUGGCGAAAAGGCUCAAUUUUAUCAUGCCAAUUGGAAAAAUGUACAAACAAACGGUGUCGUUUGGGAUCCUUCAAAUUUUUUUUUUUUUUUUUUUUUUU
This 244-nucleotide unclassified non-coding RNA is filed under the name Hevea brasiliensis (rubber tree). Lineage: Eukaryota; Viridiplantae; Streptophyta; Magnoliopsida; Malpighiales; Euphorbiaceae. The record is from RNAcentral.